RNAcentral lists this ribosomal RNA (497 nucleotides) under uncultured bacterium. RNAcentral describes it as "partial 16S ribosomal RNA". It matches the Rfam family "Bacterial small subunit ribosomal RNA", at positions 28 to 507 of the family's 1533-position model. The record is from RNAcentral.
GAUGAACGCUGGCGGCGUGCCUAAUACAUGCAAGUCGAGCGAACAGACGAGGAGCUUGCUCCUCUGACGUUAGCGGCGGACGGGUGAGUAACACGUGGAUAACCUACCUAUAAGACUGGGAUAACUUCGGGAAACCGGAGCUAAUACCGGAUAAUAUAUUGAACCGCAUGGUUCAAUAGUGAAAGACGGUUUUGCUGUCACUUAUAGAUGGAUCCGCGCCGCAUUAGCUAGUUGGUAAGGUAACGGCUUACCAAGGCAACGAUGCGUAGCCGACCUGAGAGGGUGAUCGGCCACACUGGAACUGGGCCACGGUCCAGACUCCUACGGGAGGCAGCAGUAGGGAAUCUUCCGCAAUGGGCGAAAGCCUGACGGAGCGACGCCGCGUGAGUGAUGAAGGUCUUCGGAUCGUAAAACUCUGUUAUUAGGGAAGAACAAAUGUGUAAGUAACUAUGCACGUCUUGACGGUAACUAAUAAGAAAGCAACGGCUAACUACGUG